Molecule: long non-coding RNA, 456 nt
Organism: Triticum dicoccoides
Lineage: Eukaryota; Viridiplantae; Streptophyta; Magnoliopsida; Poales; Poaceae
Exons: 3
Source: RefSeq, a predicted model, not a curated record
CCUCGACACCCAUCCCAACCUUCGGGAGAUUGGACUUUUUCCGCAUCCUCCUAUAGCAGAAGGUGCUCAUGAUGACGAUUUGUUGUGUGAUAGUGAUGAGGAGAACUGAUUUAUAAUGCAGAGCGACUCACAUUGCAUCAGGUGUGCUCUUAAAAUGUACAUAGAUCAUCGAUGACGAAGAAGUGCUACGCCAGGAGUAUACGACGAGUGGCCGGAGUAUCAGGCCCAGGUUUACCGGUUUCCGGUUUCGGAGCGAUAGCCAGUAGUUAGUUUAGGUUCACGCUAGUGCGAGAGAGGGAUACAAACCGGCGCCUCAAGAAGUACUACAUUAUGUAUGAUGAGACAUGUCAUGUAACUUGUAUAGCUAUUCGUGAUUAUGAUGAGACGACAUGAUUUGUGUUGGAUGAUAUGAUGAGACUAUUAUGUGUAUAAUAUGAUGAGCAUAUUGCAUGUUUA